UGAGUAAUCUGCCCCUGGCUUUGGGAUAGCCACCGGAAACGGUGAUUAAUACCGGAUAUGACCACUUCUCGCAUGGGUUGUGGUGGAAAGUUUUUCGGCCAGGGAUGUGCUCGCGGCCUAUCAGCUUGAUGGUGAGGUAAUGGCUCACCAUGGCUUCGACGGGUAGCCGGCCUGAGAGGGUGACCGGUCACACUGGGACUGAGACACGGCCCAGACUCCUACGGGAGGCAGCAGUGGGGAAUAUUGGACAAUGGGCGGAAGCCUGAUCCAGCAACGCCGCGUGAGGGAUGACGGCCUUCGGGUUGUAAACCUCUUUCAGCAGGGACGAAGCGCAAGUGACGGUACCUGCAGAAGAAGCACCGGCCAACUACGUGCCAGCAGCCGCGGUAAUA
This 392-nucleotide ribosomal RNA is filed under the name uncultured Nocardioides sp. Its description in RNAcentral is "bacterial SSU rRNA". It matches the Rfam family "Bacterial small subunit ribosomal RNA", at positions 118 to 525 of the family's 1533-position model. The record is from RNAcentral. Lineage: Bacteria; Bacillati; Actinomycetota; Actinomycetes; Propionibacteriales; Nocardioidaceae.